RNAcentral lists this ribosomal RNA (465 nucleotides) under Vreelandella stevensii. Its description in RNAcentral is "partial 16S ribosomal RNA". It matches the Rfam family "Bacterial small subunit ribosomal RNA", at positions 338 to 795 of the family's 1533-position model. The record is from RNAcentral. Lineage: Bacteria; Pseudomonadati; Pseudomonadota; Gammaproteobacteria; Oceanospirillales; Halomonadaceae.
CCUACGGGUGGCAGCAGUGGGGAAUAUUGGACAAUGGGCGAAAGCCUGAUCCAGCCAUGCCGCGUGUGUGAAGAAGGCCUUCGGGUUGUAAAGCACUUUCAGUGGGGAAGAAAGCCUUGGGGCUAAUACCCUCGAGGAAGGACAUCACCCACAGAAGAAGCACCGGCUAACUCCGGGCCAGCAGCCGCGGUAAUACGGAGGGUGCGAGCGUUAAUCGGAAUUACUGGGCGUAAAGCGCGCGUAGGCGGUCUGAUAAGCCGGUUGUGAAAGCCCCGGGCUCAACCUGGGAACGGCAUCCGGAACUGUCAGGCUAGAGUGCAGGAGAGGAAGGUAGAAUUCCCGGUGUAGCGGUGAAAUGCGUAGAGAUCGGGAGGAAUACCAGUGGCGAAGGCGGCCUUCUGGACUGACACUGACGCUGAGGUGCGAAAGCGUGGGUAGCAAACAGGAUUAGAUACCCGGGUAGUC